GAUGAACGCUAGCGGCAGGCUUAACACAUGCAAGUCGAGGGGCAGCGCGAGGUAGCAAUACUUUGGCGGCGACCGGCGAAAGGGUGCGUAACGCGUGAGCAACUUGCCCGUAUCUGGGACAUAAGCGGUGGAAACGCCGUCUAAUUUCCCAUAACAACAGAGGCCGCAUGACCUUUGUUUGAAAGAUCCGUCGGAUACGGAUGGGCUCGCGAGACAUUAGCUAGUCGGCGUGGUAACGGCACACCGAGGCGACGAUGUCUAGGGGUUCUGAGAGGAAGGUCCCCCACACUGGAACUGAGACACGGUCCAGACUCCUACGGGAGGCAGCAGUGAGGAAUAUUGGUCAAUGGGCGCAAGCCUGAACCAGCCAUGCCGCGUGAAGGAAUAAGGCCCUAUGGGUCGUAAACUUCUUUUGUGGUGGAGCAAUAAGGUGUACGUGUACACCGAUGAGAGUACAUCACGAAUAAGCAUCGGCUAACUCCGUGCCAGCAGCCGCGGUAAUACGGAGGAUGCAAGCGUUAUCCGGAUUUAUUGGGUUUAAAGGGUGCGUAGGCUGUGGGGAAAGUCAGGGGUGAAAGCCCGGCGCUUAACGCCGGAACUGCCUUUGAUACUUCUCCGCUGGAAUACGGAUGCCGUGGGAGGAAUGAGUAGUGUAGCGGUGAAAUGCAUAGAUAUUACUCAGAACACCGAUUGCGAAGGCAUCUCACGAAUCCGUCAUUGACGCUGAGGCACGAAAGCGUGGGGAUCAAACA
This 752-nucleotide ribosomal RNA is filed under the name uncultured bacterium. RNAcentral describes it as "bacterial SSU rRNA". It matches the Rfam family "Bacterial small subunit ribosomal RNA", at positions 28 to 774 of the family's 1533-position model. The record is from RNAcentral.